Populus euphratica (Euphrates poplar) is the source of this 101-nucleotide long non-coding RNA. RefSeq lists it as uncharacterized. The transcript has 2 exons. The record is from RefSeq and is a predicted model, not a curated record. NCBI's taxonomy places the organism in Eukaryota, Viridiplantae, Streptophyta, Magnoliopsida, Malpighiales, Salicaceae.
GCCACUGGAAGCUUACAUGGUCGUUAACUUCAGGGCCCGUGGGAUUAGUCGUGGUGCGCACAAGUUGGCCCGGACACUCCACGUAAAUCAAAAAAAAAAAA